Molecule: ribosomal RNA, 494 nt
Filed under: uncultured bacterium
Lineage: Bacteria
Description: partial 16S ribosomal RNA
Rfam family: Bacterial small subunit ribosomal RNA
Source: RNAcentral
GACGAACGCUGGCGGCGUGCUUAACACAUGCAAGUCGAACGGAAAGGCCUGCUUUCCCUUGUGGAUUGCGGGUACUCGAGUGGCGAACGGGUGAGUAACACGUGAGUGAUCUGCCCCCAACUUGGGUAUAAGCCUGGGAAACUGGGUCUAAUUCCCGAUAGGACUGCAGGGUGGUGCCUGUGGUGGAAAACGAUUUUCUAGUGGUUGGGGAUGAGCUCGCGGCCUAUCAGCUUGUUGGUGGGGUAAUGGCCUACCAAGGCGGCGACGGGUAGCCGGCCUGAGAGGGUGGACGGCCACAUUGGGACUGAGCUACGGCCCAGACUCCUACGGGAGGCAGCAGUGGGGAAUAGUGGACAAUGGGCGGAAGCCUGAUGCAGCGACGCCGCGUGGGGGAUGCCGGCCUUCGGGUUGUAAACUCCUUUCGACCGCGAGGAAGCCACCUGGUUGGAAGGGUGGUGACGGUAGUGGUAGAAGAAGCACCGGCUAACUACGUG